RNAcentral lists this small RNA (249 nucleotides) under Macaca mulatta (Rhesus monkey). Its description in RNAcentral is "Metazoan signal recognition particle RNA (ENSMMUG00000055829.1)". Lineage: Eukaryota; Metazoa; Chordata; Mammalia; Primates; Cercopithecidae. The record is from RNAcentral.
GCUGGGCUUGGUGGCGGGCACCUGUAAUCCCAGCUACUGGGGAGGCUGAGGCAGGAAAAUCACUUGAACCUGGGAGGCGGAGGUUGUAGUGAGCCGAGAUUGUGCCACUGCACUCCAGCCUGGGCGACAGAGCGGGACCCUGUCUCAAAAAAAAGGGUCCCGCUCUGUCGCCCAGGCUGGAGUGCAGUGGCCGGAUCUCAGCUCACUGCAAGCUCCGCCUCCCGGGUUCACGCCAUGCUCCUGCCUCAG